CCCUCCAGAUCCUCCUCCUACUCCCGCUCAGGAUUCAACUCCAGUCACCAAAAGGCAAAUAUUCCCAAAAUCUUUUUCCUCUGUUCUUCUUAAACCCUAAAUCCCAAAACUUUGAUUUCCCUCUCUCGCGGAAUUUCAAUUUUCAUCACCCUGCCUCUCGCGGAAUCUGAAGGCUCAGCCAUAUGGCAGGCAGGCCAGUGAUUGUGUAGCUAUCUUCUAAAACUUGUCGACUUCCACACCGACAGAACCCGACUGCUUACGAAUCGAAUUCUGAAAGGCGAGUUUUUUACUCUGCUUCUGCUUGUUUCAGUGGCAAUCAUAUGUUUUUACUUUUGGAAAUUGAAUUUGUUUGAAUUUUGUUUCUUCAAGGUUGAUGGAAUGGCCGGUGUUGGGGAAAUAACGGCUGCUUCUGCAUUCCUACAGGCAGAGCCUUUUUUUGCAUAGAAAUUCUUUUGAAGGAAGAAGCGAUGUGCUCUUGGGCACGCUUCACAGGCGGAAUGCAGCAGUGGCUUUUGGUUCUUAAGUGGCUUCUUCAGCUUGUGAGGCCUAGAAUUUGUUGAGGUUUGGCCUCAGUUGUCAUUUACAACAGCUUGGUCUUCUAAUGCCGUGUCAAUUUGCAGAGCAUUUGGUUUGACAGAGGCGACUCAUUUGGAGGACUCAAGGAGGAAACUAGUUUUCGUUUGGUAAAAUUUUGAUGAUUGGCUUGUCGUGGGGUUCUAGAUAAAGAAGUGCUGAAAGCCAGGCAUGUGCCUUCAUGGGAAUUGUCAGUACAUGAUUGUCACCUACACACCAAAAGUGGCAGUAAUUUGAGAUGGCAGCAAUGGGGACAGAGAAUUGGCUGCAGCAUUUUAUGCGUCUGGUUUUGAACCAUGGGAUGUUACAAGGUCAGGCCUUCUUCAUGGAGCCAUAUGACUGGAUAAAUUGCAUGGUGUUGUGUUUGUUGUGGGCUUUAGCUAUGCUGAUGUGCUUGAUUCUGUGGAAGGUUGGUCUGCUUCAGUUCGAUUUAAUUAGCCCAUUUUAAAUCAAUUUCAGGAGUUUUACAAGCGACCAGACCCUUUUUAAGUCUUGGUGUUUGCAAUGGGUGUCAGCUUAUGGCCCUUUUGGGGUGUGUCCUAGGCCCUCAAAUUGGUGGUGUGCUAGGUGGUGGCGGGGACGCUUCACACCCCAGGUUCAUUCACAACAAGUCUAGACGUUUUGAAGGCCUAGUCACCGGCUAUAAUGUUUAGAGGUAUGGAGGGCAGUACAUUGGGUGUUUGGGCUGCCUCUGAUGAGGG
Long non-coding RNA from Malus domestica (apple), 1274 nucleotides. RefSeq lists it as uncharacterized. NCBI's taxonomy places the organism in Eukaryota, Viridiplantae, Streptophyta, Magnoliopsida, Rosales, Rosaceae. The record is from RefSeq and is a predicted model, not a curated record.